CCUACGAGAGGCUGCAGUAGGGAAUAUUGCACAAUGGGGGAAACCCUGAAGCAGCAACGCCGCGUGGAGGAUGAAGGUUUUCGGAUUGUAAACUCCUUUUGUUAGAGAAGAUAAUGACGGUAUCUAACGAAUAAGCACCGGCUAACUCCGUGCCAGCAGCCGCGGUAAUACGGAGGGUGCAAGCGUUACUCGGAUUCACUGGGCGUAAAGAGCGCGUAGGCGGGAGAGCAAGUCAGAAGGGAAAGGCUAUGGCUUAACCAUAGAACUGCAUUUGAAACUGUUAGUCUAGAGUGUGGGAGAGGUAGGUGGAAUUCUUGGUGUAGGGGUAAAAUCCGUAGAGAUCAAGAGGAAUACUCAUUGCGAAGGCGACCUGCUAGAACAUAACUGACGCUGAUGCGCGAAAGCGUGGGGAGCAAACAGGAUUAGAUACCCUUGUAGUC
This 440-nucleotide ribosomal RNA is filed under the name uncultured bacterium. RNAcentral describes it as "partial 16S ribosomal RNA". It matches the Rfam family "Bacterial small subunit ribosomal RNA", at positions 338 to 795 of the family's 1533-position model. The record is from RNAcentral.